This 859-nucleotide ribosomal RNA is filed under the name uncultured bacterium. RNAcentral describes it as "SSU rRNA". It matches the Rfam family "Bacterial small subunit ribosomal RNA", at positions 524 to 1381 of the family's 1533-position model. The record is from RNAcentral.
UACGUAGGGUGCGAGCGUUAAUCGGAAUUACUGGGCGUAAAGCGUGCGCAGGCGGUUUUGUAAGACAGGCGUGAAAUCCCCGGGCUCAACCUGGGAACUGCGCUUGUGACUGCAAGGCUAGAGUACGGCAGAGGGGGGUGGAAUUCCACGUGUAGCAGUGAAAUGCGUAGAGAUGUGGAGGAACACCGAUGGCGAAGGCAGCCCCCUGGGCCGAUACUGACGCUCAUGCACGAAAGCGUGGGUAGCAAACAGGAUUAGAUACCCUGGUAGUCCACGCCCUAAACGAUGUCAACUAGGUGUUGGGUGGGUAAAACCAUUUAGUACCGUAGCUAACGCGUGAAGUUGACCGCCUGGGGAGUACGGCCGCAAGGUUAAAACUCAAAGGAAUUGACGGGGACCCGCACAAGCGGUGGAUGAUGUGGAUUAAUUCGAUGCAACGCGAAAAACCUUACCUACCCUUGACAUGUCCGGAAUCCCUGAGAGAUUGGGGAGUGCCCGAAAGGGAAUCGGAACACAGGUGCUGCAUGGCUGUCGUCAGCUCGUGUCGUGAGAUGUUGGGUUAAGUCCCGCAACGAGCGCAACCCUUGUCGUUAAUUGCCAUCAUUUGGUUGGGCACUUUAACGAGACUGCCGGUGACAAACCGGAGGAAGGUGGGGAUGACGUCAAGUCCUCAUGGCCCUUAUGGGUAGGGCUUCACACGUCAUACAAUGGUCGGUACAGAGGGUUGCCAAGCCGCGAGGUGGAGCCAAUCCCAGAAAGCCGAUCGUAGUCCGGAUCGUAGUCUGCAACUCGACUGCGUGAAGUCGGAAUCGCUAGUAAUCGCGGAUCAGCAUGUCGCGGUGAAUACGUUCCCGGGUCU